GUCUACAGCCAUACCACCCUGAAUAUACUGAUCUCAUCUGACCUCAGAAGCUAAGCAGGGGUGGGGCCUGGUUAGUACUUGCAUAGGAGAAAAGAGUGGAAGUGAGAAGGGGGGUAGAAA
This 120-nucleotide ribosomal RNA is filed under the name Erinaceus europaeus (western European hedgehog). The record is from RNAcentral. Lineage: Eukaryota; Metazoa; Chordata; Mammalia; Eulipotyphla; Erinaceidae.